This 253-nucleotide ribosomal RNA is filed under the name uncultured bacterium. RNAcentral describes it as "partial 16S ribosomal RNA". It matches the Rfam family "Bacterial small subunit ribosomal RNA", at positions 524 to 776 of the family's 1533-position model. The record is from RNAcentral.
UACAGAGGGUGCGAGCGUUGUCCGGAAUCACUGGGCGUAAAGGGCGCGUAGGCGGCUGGGUAAGCGUGUGGUGAAAGCCCGGGGCUCAACCCCGGGUCGGCCAUGCGAACUGUCCAGCUGGAGCACGGUAGAGGCACAUGGAAUUCCGGGUGUAGCGGUGGAAUGCGUAGAGAUCCGGAAGAACACCGGUGGCGAAGGCGGUGUGCUGGGCCGUGGCUGACGCUGAGGCGCGACAGCGUGGGGAGCAAACAGG